AUUGAACGCUGGCGGCAGGCUUAACACAUGCAAGUCGAGCGGGGAAGGGUAGCUUGCUACCUAACCUAGCGGCGGACGGGUGAGUAAUGCUUAGGAAUCUGCCAUUUAGUGGGGGACAACAUUCCGAAAGGAAUGCUAAUACCGCAUACGUCCUACGGGAGAAAGCAGGGGAUCUUCGGACCUUGCGCUAAAUGAUGAGCCUAAGUCGGAUUAGCUAGUUGGUGGGGUAAAGGCCUACCAAGGCGACGAUCUGUAGCGGGUCUGAGAGGAUGGUCCGCCACACUGGGACUGAGACACGGCCCAGACUCCUACGGGAGGCAGCAGUGGGGAAUAUUGGACAAUGGGCGGAAGCCUGAUCCAGCCAUGCCGCGUGUGUGAAGAAGGCCUUAUGGUUGUAAAGCACUUUAAGCGAGGAGGAGGCUACUUAGAUUAAUACUCUAGGAUAGUGGACGUUACUCGCAGAAUAAGCACCGGCUAACUCUGUGCCAGCAGCCGCAGUAA
Molecule: ribosomal RNA, 501 nt
Filed under: uncultured bacterium
Lineage: Bacteria
Description: partial 16S ribosomal RNA
Rfam family: Bacterial small subunit ribosomal RNA
Source: RNAcentral